GACAGAGGAGGCAAGCGUUGUUCGGAUUCACUGGGCUUAAAGCGAGUGUAGGCGGCCCGGCAAUUGUCGUGUGAAAUCCCACGGCUCAACCGUGGAACGGCACGGCCAUCUGCCGGGCUUGAGGUCGGUAGGGGUGCCUGGAACUCCAGGUGGUGCUGUGAAAUGCGUAGAUAUCUGGAGGAACGCCGGAGGCGAAAGCGGGGCACUGGGCCGAUGCUGACGCUGAGACGCGAAAGCGUGGGGAGCAAACAGG
Molecule: ribosomal RNA, 253 nt
Filed under: uncultured bacterium
Lineage: Bacteria
Description: partial 16S ribosomal RNA
Rfam family: Bacterial small subunit ribosomal RNA
Source: RNAcentral